Molecule: RNA transcript, 2679 nt
Organism: Hyla sarda
Lineage: Eukaryota; Metazoa; Chordata; Amphibia; Anura; Hylidae
Gene: EGLN1
Gene name: egl-9 family hypoxia inducible factor 1
Exons: 6
Source: RefSeq, a predicted model, not a curated record
CCCUCACACAUAGCGUCCUACAUCCUCCGGGAGGGGUGAGAGGUGAGAUUUCCGAACCUAAGGCGCGUGGCUUAAUUAUCUCCUGCAGACGUGCGAUCUCGGGCUGCGAAGCGGUUCGGUUUUUGCAUGGGUUCGGAAAUCUCACCGAUUUUCGCUCCUCCCAACCGGAUCCAGCACCCAUACACAACAAAUCCAGCCUGAGAAGGUUGCAGAGUUGGGUCCCUAACAAGCUCUGCCUUCCCUUUUCCUUGCUGUAUCUUCAGCAGUCUCCGAAUAGCUGAGGAGCGAACGCAGAAUUGCAUAGGACGCGUCUGUAUCUGACAGCGGACCCUCCCAGGCCCGCCCAUGUAACGGACGGGACGCGAUGCGACAGCUUGAUGACCUUCUUCCGCUAUUUCACAACAGUUAAAAAUGUCAUGGUCACGUGGUAAAGAGGUCACAUGACUGUGACGUUUGCUAAGGUCCUUCUGCUUUGAGAGGAAGGAAAAGAAGGUCUACCAUUUCGUUUAUUACUAUAUUGCUUAGGCUGUCAGGCAGCUUGCCAACAACUUGUGUGGACAGCUGUAUGACGUCAGCAAGUGCCACGGUGCGCCGGCUCUAUUUGUUCUCUGUCUCAGCAGUAAGUCCGGUGAAUGAGUUACCUUCUGGCAUGUCUGGUGGCUUGUGUGCGCGUGUUUGACAGGUAAACAACACGUGAGUCCAGCUCGGCAUGCGUAUGGGUCCGAGGCUCGAGUGACAUAUCCGUCGUGCUCAUACUUCUUGGUGAGGGACCGGGGUGAAAGGCGCUGAGUAUCAGACAGAAGCCGGGAGGAGACGACUAGCAGUCAUUAUGGCCGGCGGAGGCGGCCCGGGCUGCGAAGGUGCCAGCCAGAGUGAACGCGAUCGUCAAUACUGUGAACUUUGCGGCAAAAUGGAGAACUUGUUACGGUGUGGCCGCUGUCGCAGCUCCUUCUACUGCAGCAAAGAGCAUCAGCGGCAGGACUGGAAGAAACACAAGCUGGUGUGUAAGGGCACGGAGGCGAAACCUGCAGGAAAGAACACGGAGCCCACCAAGCCUUCUCCAGCCAAUCAUUCCAGUGCGGGCUCCGCGCCGCUAAAGUCCGGCAAACAAGCGGAACAGACUCACACUCCGCAAGCCGGACCUGCCGCCAACAGCCUGCCCGGGAAAACCGCUUCGCAGUGCCCACAUUCCAAACAGCGGGAGCUGGUGGUCGGAGGGGCAACCCUGAGAGCGAUCAACGAGGAAGACUACACGCAGAAGUCGGGGGAGGCUUGUGGCAGUGCCACCAGCAGUCGAGGAGAGGACGGGCUGGAGAGGCCCAACGGGCACAACAAGCCUUUCCUCCAGAAACUGGCCCUGGAGUACAUCAUCCCGUGCAUGAACAAGCAUGGCAUCUGUGUACUGGACGACUUUCUGGGCCAGGACAUCGGGGAGCGAAUAGUUGGCGAAGUAAAAGCCUUGCACAGCACGGGACGCUUCACUGACGGCCAGCUGGUAAGCCAGAAGAGCGACUCCUCCAAGGACAUUCGAGGGGACCAGAUCACUUGGGUGGAGGGCAAGGAGGCAGGAUGUAAGGCCAUCGGGCACCUGAUGAACAGCAUGGACGACCUGAUCCGCCACUGCGGGGGCAAGCUGGGCAACUUCAGGAUAAACGGGAGAACCAAGGCAAUGGUGGCUUGUUACCCUGGAAAAGGAACAGGCUAUGUGCGACAUGUUGACAACCCAAAUGCAGAUGGAAGAUGUGUUACUUGCAUAUAUUAUUUAAAUAAGAACUGGGAUGCAAAGGCAAAUGGAGGUGUACUUAGAAUAUUUCCAGAAGGCAAAUCUCAAUUUGCGGAUAUUGAACCGAAAUUUGACAGACUACUAUUUUUUUGGUCAGAUCGGCGCAAUCCUCAUGAAGUUCAACCUGCAUUUGCUACAAGGUACGCAAUAACUGUGUGGUACUUUGAUGCAGAUGAACGAGCACGAGCUAAAGAGAAGUAUCAGACAGGGAAACAUCUUAUCUGCCCAGAAUAUAAUCGACUGAACAGUGAGUGACUCUUUCCCUAUUGUAUUCUACAUAUGACUAUGAUGAUAUGAAGAAGGUUGGGGGUGAAAAAUCUGUGAGGAUUGAGCUGAACAAGUCAUCAGAUGGGGUCAUGAAAGAAGUCUUUUAAGAGCUGGGAACUAGCAGCUCUUUUGCUCUUUCUGUAUACAAUAUAUACAAAGACACCUGAAAACCAUGUAUUACCUGAAUCUCUUGCUGCAUUAUGUUGUGAAUGUAAAUAAUAGUAAAGCAUAUGUAUAAUUACUAGAUGAUGCACCAAUAAACCUAAAGUAAUGCACUGGUCUGUGCCAGUAUUGCCACUACCUAUUUUAAGAAAAUUUGCGUAUGCUACUCACUCAUGCAUAUCUCUCUUUUCCUGUAUUAAUUCCUUACUAUUGUAUUUACAAUUUUGCCAUCACAAAUUUGUCUUUUCUGACCCAAUUAGAACUAUAAAAUGACAGUACAAUGACUUAAUUUUUAUUCACACUUUUAAGUAGAGGGUUUACAUUGUAGCUGAAUUUACUACUGAUUUACUACUGUACUCUUUUAUAGACUUGCAUAGACAAGACUUUAAAUAGGCACUGUCACAUACAAAACCUUUUUUUGUUGUACAUCUUGGAAAAACCUUUCUAAUAUACUUCAUAAAAAAUUU